RNAcentral lists this transfer RNA (71 nucleotides) under Acetes chinensis (northern mauxia shrimp). RNAcentral's name for it is "tRNA-Lys". The record is from RNAcentral. Lineage: Eukaryota; Metazoa; Arthropoda; Malacostraca; Decapoda; Sergestidae.
UAUCAAAUAACUAAAAAGUUAGUACAGAUCUUUUAAAUCUGAAAUAGUGAAUUAACGCCCACUUUUGGUAA